CCUACGGGAGGCAGCAGUGGGGAAUAUUGCACAAUGGGGGAAACCCUGAUGCAGCGACGCCGCGUGAGUGAAGAAGUAAUUCGUUACGUAAAGCUCUAUCAGCAGGGAAGAAACACUGACCUUACGGUCAGCAGACGGUACCUGAGUCAGAAGCCCCGGCUAACUACGUGCCAGCAGCCGCGGUAAUACGUAGGGGGCAAGCGUUAUCCGGAUUUACUGGGUGUAAAGGGAGCGUAGGCGGUGCGCCAAGUCUGGAGUGAAAUGCCGCAGCUUAACUGCGGAACUGCUUUGGAAACUGGCGAACUAGAGUGCGGGAGGGGUAAGCGGAAUUCCUAGUGUAGCGGUGAAAUGCGUAGAUAUUAGGAGGAACACCGGUGGCGAAGGCGGCUUACUGGAACGUAACUGACGUUGAGGCUCGAAAGCGUGGGGAGCAAACAGGAUUAGAUACCCUAGUAGUC
RNAcentral lists this ribosomal RNA (458 nucleotides) under uncultured bacterium. RNAcentral's name for it is "partial 16S ribosomal RNA". It matches the Rfam family "Bacterial small subunit ribosomal RNA", at positions 338 to 795 of the family's 1533-position model. The record is from RNAcentral.